This 6090-nucleotide ribosomal RNA is filed under the name Triticum aestivum (bread wheat). RNAcentral describes it as "partial small subunit ribosomal RNA". Lineage: Eukaryota; Viridiplantae; Streptophyta; Magnoliopsida; Poales; Poaceae. The record is from RNAcentral.
AUGGAACGCAAAGCUUAUACCGCACGAAGUGAGCUAGAGCAGAUGUUAGUUGAUGAAACAGCGGAGCCCAUGGCCCUGCCAUUAUCACUCUUGGAGGACAUCACAAAUGAUUUCUCCGAUGACCAGGAGAUUGGAAGUGGGGCAUUUGCUGUAGUUUAUAAGGGAAUACUUGGCGACAAGUCGGUUGCUGUGAAGAAGUUGACCAACACUUAUAUGCAUCAAGUGGAGAUUCACCGAGGGCUUCAAUGCCUGAUGCGGGUAAAGCACAAGAAUGUAGUAAGAUUUCUCGGAUAUUGUGUUGAUAGACAAGGAACUAUGGCAAGUUACGAUGGAAAGUAUGUCAUGAUAGAUGUCCAUCAAAGUUUGCUUUGCUUCGAGUAUAUACCUAAUGGGAGUCUUGAUAAAUAUAUCACCGAUGCAUAUCGUGAGUGGCAAACGUGCUACAAAAUAAUUAAAGGGAUUUCUGAGGGCCUGCAGUUCCUUCAUGAGAAUCAUAUCAUUCACUUGGAUCUGAAACCUUCCAAUAUACUGCUCGAUGAUAGCAUGGUACCGAAAAUUACUGAUUUUGCACUGUCCAGAUGCUUUAAUGAAAAUCAAAGACGGUAUAUUACCAAAACUAUAUUAGGAUCAAUGGGAUAUUUGGCACCAGAACUUUUGGAAGGGGAUGCAAUCACAUGUAGCGCUGACUUGUAUAGUCUUGGUGUUAUUAUCACAGAAAUACUGACCGGGCAGAAGGGGUAUCAAGCUACUGAGGAAGUACUUGAAAGUUGGAGUGAUAGGAUGGAGAGAUCACAACGAGACACACUAUUGGAACAAAUACGAGUAUGCUAUGAGAUAGCUUUAGAGUGCAGAGACUUUAGUCCAAAGAAGAGACCAGCUAGUGCACGUGAUAUAGUUGACAGGCUUCGUGAAAUGGAGGGUAUCCAGGUAGAGAUGGGUUCUUCGCUGGCCGUCAUGGGCACCAUGGAUGCUCCGGUGAGUUGUUCGCUGGCCGACAUGAGCGCCAUGAAUGCUCCAAUGAGUUAUUCCCUUGGUGUCAUGGGCCCCCUUCUCAGGAAGCUAGAUUCGCUGCUGCCUCUCGAUUACCGGCUGCGAGGGCCACUCAAGGACAGAGUUGCGCUCCUCAAGGCAGAUCUGGAAGAAAUCAGCGUCGCCCUUGUGGAGCAGUCAAUGGUAGAUUCCCCCAAUGAAAUGGCAAAAUACUGGAUGAAUGAGGUGCGUGAACUUUGUUACGACAUCGAGGAUUUCAUCGACGACAUGAUGUUGACGCACGCCGAUGCCAAGAUGAGAUCGGUGCAGAGCUUCAAGGUUGGCCGUGUCAAGAUCCCUUGGCUUCCCAAGACGGUGAGGCCGUGCACAAGGGCGGCCAAGAUCGCAGAACUCAGGGCCCUGGUGCGGGAGGCGAUUGAACGACAUGGAAGGUAUCUUGAUGGUUGCACCUCAAGUUCUAGAUCUCUGUUCACUGUGUACGGCCAUAUUCCAUUGAUGUAUGCAGAGGCUGCAAACUACCUUGUUGGUGUCGACGACGCCAAGACAAAGCUUAUCAAGUGGCUCACCGAUGAGAAGGAACAACAGCUGAAAAUGGUGGCCAUAACUGGACAUGCAGGGGUUGGCAAGACCACGCUUGCAAAACAGCUGUACCGUGAAGUUGGGCACCAAUUUGAGUGCCGUGCUUUCGUGCGGGCAUCUCGGAAACCUGACAUGAGACGACUGCUUGAGGGCAUCCUCUCUCAAGUUCAGCAGCAUCGAUGCCCUUCUAAUUCCUACACAGUGCAAAACCUCGUUGACAAUCUCACCAAACAUCUCCAGAAUAAGAGAUAUGUUAUUGUAAUUGAUGAUUUGUGGGAAACAAUAUCAUGGGAUAUUGUUGCCAGUGCUUUUCCGGAAGGUAAUAACUGCAGUAGAAUAAUAACCACCACAGAAAUUGAGGGAGUAGCUCUGGAAUGCUGUGAUUAUCAAUCUGAUAAUAUUCUGAAGAUGAAACCUCUUGGUGGGGAGGACUCUGGGAAACUGUUACUCAACCUGGUUUUCGGUCCUGAAUGUCUGUGCCCUGAACAAUUAAAGGGGGCUUCAGACAUAAUUAUAACAAAAUGUGCUGGUUUGCCACUAGCAACCAUUUGUGUAUCUGGUCUUUUAACAACCCAACCGGACAACCCUAAGCUAUGGCAGCAUGUGCAGGAAUUUUUAUGUUCCACUUUGAGUACAGAUUCUACUUUGAACGAGACACUGCAGGAAAUACUAAAGCUUAGUUACAAUAGUCUUCCUCACUAUUUGAAGACAUGCUUGAUGUACCUGAGUGUGUAUCCGGAGGGCUGCACAAUGUGGAAGUUUGAUUUGGUUAAGCAGUGGAUAGCAGAAGAUUUCAUCUGUGCGAUAGAAGGAACAGACACAGCGGAAGUUGCAGAUAGCUAUUUUGAAGAGCUUGUCAACAGGGGAAUGAUCCAACCUGUAGAUAUCAACUACAGUGGUGAGGUAUUGUCCUGCACACUGCACCACGUUGUGCUUGAUCUUGUUACACUUGAGUCCACCGAAGAGAGAUUUAUCACUGCAUUAGAUUACUCACAGACCAUCAGAGGACAUUAUAGCAAGGCUCGUCGGCUAUCGCUCCACUUCAGCAAUCCCAGAUAUGCAAAGAAACCAACUGGUCUAACACUGUCAAAAGUUCGAUCAAUUGGCUUUUUUGGAAUCCUCAAGUGUGUGCCUACAAUUGUGGGAUUUAAGCAUCUCCGAGUUCUAAUCCUGGAGUUUUGGGGUGAUCAAUGGGGGAUCACGAGUUUUGACCUCACAAGAAUUUGUAGAUUUUUUCAGCUGAGAUAUUUGAAGAUUUCAUGUGAUGCCAGUGUAGAGGUAGAACUACCAACCCAGAUGCGAAUGCUGCGGUACUUGGAAACACUAAUAAUUGAUGCAGCAGUGUCUGCAGUUCCAUCAGAUAUUAUUCAUCUCCCAGGCUUGUUGCAUCUCUCUCUUGGAGAUAAGACAGAUAUACCUGAUGAGGUUGGUCGCAUCAGAUCUUUGCGUGUGCUACAUUGUUUUAACCUUAGCAGUAACUCUGAAGACAAUGUACUGAGCCUUGGUGAUCUGUUGAACCUGCAAGAUCUUAACCUCACUUACUGUACAGAAGAGUCAGAUGACCAUCUGAAGAGAAACCUGGCAGCUCUAGCCUCUUCUCUUGGGAAACUUGUGAAUCUCAAAUCUGUCACUCUGGCUCCUGGUGCUUCAGGAACAGCAAUCUACCAUGAUGUGUGGAGCAGCGUGUCCUCUCUUCCUUUCUUUCUUCAGAGACUUGAGUUGUUGCCCCCCAUUUGCAUCUUCUCCAGGCUUCCGCAGUGCCUUGGGCAACUCCGCAAACUCUGUAUUCUGACAGUUGUUGUUAGCGAGCUGCUGAUGGAAGAUAUGGAUAUAGUGACAGGAUUGCCCGCCCUCACUGUUUUCUCACUCUAUGUCCGGCAACCCACGUUAGAAAGUAUUAUUUUCAAAAAAAGGGCAUUCCUAGGGCUCAAGUGUUUCAAAUACACAUGUGGUGUACUGUCCCUCACCUUUCAGGAAGAAGCAUUUCCCAAUCUUCAGAGGCUCGAGCUAAGUUUCAAUGCUCACAGAGGAGAACAGUAUUAUGAUUUUCUUUCGGGCAUUGGUUACCUGUUAAAUCUCAAGGAAAUUGCUGGAACGAUUGGGGCAGCCACAGGUGCUGAGGAAUCUGAGAGGAGGGUUGCAGAGUCUGCUUUCACAGACGCCAUUCGCAAACAUCCAAGGUUUCCUAGUUAUGACCACGUAAAAAGAGUAGACUGGGUUCAUGAAGAAUCCCAGCUUAGAACCCAAGCGAAAGACUCAUCAAGGGGAAAAUAUGAAACACUGGAAAAGCAGCAUGGAAGAAAAGAGGGAGACUCGUUACAUGAACAGACUAGAAUUUUACUGAAAGAAACCGGGGAAGAAACAAAGCAAUGCACCAAUAGCUGGAGUUUUUACUUUCCCGCCACAGAAUCAAUUAUCUUCGAUCAAAUGAAGUCAGACAUGGAGCAGAUACUGAAGGAGGCUCAAAUCCGAUGGUUACGCCCUACUGAGAUUUGCGAAAUACUUAAGAAUUACAGGAAUUUCCGUAUAGCUCCAGAGCCACCAAUUAUGCCUGCAAGUGGUUCACUUUUCUUGUUUGAUCGGAAGGUAUUGAGAUUGUUUAGGAAGGAUGGCCAUAAUUGGAGGAAGAAAAAGGAUGGAAAGACUGUCAUAGAAGCCCAUGAAAGAUUAAAAUCUGGAAGCAUCGAUGUGCUUCAUUGCUACUAUGCUCAUGGGGAAGACAAUAUAAACUUCCAGAGGAGGACCUAUUGGAUGCUGGAGGAGGACUAUAUGCACAUUGCCCUUGUACAUUAUCUCGAAGUCAAGUUUCCAAGUGCUAAUGAUGGUGCGACUACUGAAUUUCUUCAGCUUCCAAGUGCUAUUGAUGGCACAACUACUGAAUUUCAGCUUCCAAGUGCUACUGAUAGUACAUUUGCUACAAUGGACAGUUUUGAACAAAACAAUAAACGUUUGGAGGAAGCCAUUAAUUUCCCCGUCCUGAAAACUCAGUCAUCUAAUCUUUCUGUUAUCCUGAAGGACAGCUGUAAGAAAAGUGAUAGUUUUACUAGAUGGAUGAGCAAAGAAUUUGCUGAAGUAGAUGAUUCCCAAGUUAAGUCCAGUUCUGGAUUGUACUGGAACAGUGAAGAUGCUGACAAUAUCAUUGGAGCAUCGAGGCGUGAUCAGUUGGAUUGGUUUACUCUGGACCCAAGGGUGGCACAAGAUCAGCUGUUUAGUAUAACUCAAUUUUUUCCAAGCUGGACAUAUGCAGGUUCAAAGACUAGGGUUCUUGUUACUGGUAGAUUCCUAACUUCUGACAAAGAUAUAAAGCUCAAGUGGUCGUGUAUGUUUGGAGAAGUCGAAGUUCCAGCAGAUAUUUUAGCAGACGGGACUCUCAGGUGUUAUUCUCCCCCGCACAAACCUGGCAGGGUCCCUUUUUAUGUGACUUGCUCCAACAGGUUAGCCUGCAGUGAAGUACGAGAGUUUGAAUAUCGACCAAGUGAUUCUCAAUACAUGGAUGCUCCAAGUCCACAUGGUGGUACAAACAAAAUAUAUCUCCAGGCGUGUCUUGAUGAAUUAUUGUCUUUGGGACAAGAUGAGCAAGACGAGCUCCAGGCAGCUCUAUCUAACCCCACAAAGGAGUUGAUUGAUUUGAACAAGAAGAUAACCUCAUUGAUGACAAACAAUGAUCUGUGGUCUGAAUUGCUAAAGUUGGUUGAUGAUAAUCAGCUAGCCCCUGAUGAUAGGCAGGAUCAGUUUGUUGAAAGCGGUAUCAAAGAAAAGCUGCAUAUCUGGCUUCUCCAUAAAGCAGGAGGUGGUGGCAAAGUUCCCAGUGUGUUAGAUGAGGAAGGGCAGGGCGUUCUUCAUCUGGCAGCUGCUCUAGGAUAUGAUUGGGUGAUAAGGCCAACAAUAACUGCUGGUGUAAGCAUAAAUUCCAGAGAUGUUCAUGGAUGGACUGCACUGCACUGGGCAGCAUUUUGUGGCAGAGAGCGGACAGUUGUUGCUCUUAUAGCAUUAGGUGCGGCUCCUAGAGCUUUGACAGAUCCAAGGCCUGAUUUCCCUUCAGGACGCACACCAGCUGAUCUUGCGUCGUUCAAUGGGCACAAGGGAAUUUCUGGUUUCCUGGCAGAGUUUUCUUUAACAAGCUAUCUUCAAACCCUCAACCUGGAGGAAGUCAUGGGGAGCAAUGCAUCAGAGAUAUCUGGUCUACCUGGUCUUGGAGAUGUUACCGGAAGAAUUGCCUCACCGUCGGCAGGUCAAGGUCUUCAGGCUGGAUCGAUUGGAGAUUCACUAGGUGCUGUGCGGAAUGCUGUCCAUGCUGCUGCUCGGAUAUAUAAAGUUUUCAGGGUGCAGUCCUUCCAGAGAAAGCAAGCAGUUCAGUAUGAGGAUGACAAUGUUGUGAUAUCAGAUGAACGUGCCAUGUCACUCUUGUCUUAUAAACCAUCUAAACCAGGACAAUUCGAUCCCAUGCAUGCUGCUGCAACUCGAAUACAAAAUAAAUUCCGUGGAUGGAAGGGAAGAAAAGAAUUUCUGAUUAUUAGAUAG